Molecule: ribosomal RNA, 118 nt
Filed under: Nicotiana sylvestris (wood tobacco)
Lineage: Eukaryota; Viridiplantae; Streptophyta; Magnoliopsida; Solanales; Solanaceae
Source: RNAcentral
GGAUGCGAUCAUACCAACAAUAACGCAUCAGAUCCCAUCAAAACUCCGAAGCUAAACGUGCUUGGGAAAGAGUAGUACUAGGAUGGAUGACCCCUGGGACGUCCUCGUGUUUCAUCAC